UCAGUCAUGUCUAGCUCGGCGGGACAUUUUCCAUGAGGAAGUUCCCAAUCAAAGAAAUGAACAAGGGAAGCAAGGACUAAGGGAACUUUUAUAGCAGCCAUGGGCAGGCCUGGACAUAUUCUCCUUCCUGCACCGAAUGGUAAGAACUCAAAGUCGUUCCCUUUGAAGUCCAUAUCAGAGCGCAGAAACCUCUGUGGUCUAAACAUUUCUGGCUCUUCCCAUAUCAAAGGAUCCCUUGUGAUAGCCCAGACGUUAACCAUGAUUUGAGCGUCUUUAGGAAUUGUGUAACUCAUCACUUGACAGGAUUCAAUAGCACGAUGUGGAAGCAGCAACGGUGCUGGAGGAUGCAACCUAAGUGUUUCCUUCACACAGGCUUGGACGUAGGACAUCUGCAGCAAUUGAGAUUCUUUUAGGUAAUCACUUUUACUGAGUUCUAUCUCGAGCUCCUCUUGAACUUUUUUCAUUGGCUCUACAUUUUUAAUCAGCUCUGCCAUCGCCCACUCGAUUGUUGAGGUAAUGGUGUCUGAACCAGCAGAGAGCAACUCCUUCACAGGGUUAGAAGGAAACUUGUCAUAUAUACUACAUCGCAAUAAAGAACUCCAGCUUUCUUGAAUAUAAGAACUAUGAACUAACAUGAUUACUUUGAUUUUUAUUUUUCAGAUACUACUAAAGACUAACAUGGUUUUUACCAGAAAAUGAAUCUCAUAAAGCAAAUUUUGAUAGAAAGAGAGGGAACAAACCACGAAUAGCUGGUGAAUACAAUCAUUGGGAACACCAUUAUCAAGGAGAGCUUCC
Molecule: long non-coding RNA, 795 nt
Filed under: Capsicum annuum
Lineage: Eukaryota; Viridiplantae; Streptophyta; Magnoliopsida; Solanales; Solanaceae
Description: long non-coding RNA (CANN_LNC000078)
Source: RNAcentral